This is a long non-coding RNA of Triticum aestivum (bread wheat), 2678 nucleotides long. RefSeq lists it as uncharacterized. The transcript is spliced from 3 exons. The record is from RefSeq and is a predicted model, not a curated record. Lineage: Eukaryota; Viridiplantae; Streptophyta; Magnoliopsida; Poales; Poaceae.
GAAGCCUCCAGGUGCCCCCGAGCGACGCCACACCAGAUACCUUCACUGUCGCCCUCGCACAUCAAGCCCGCACCCUCGCCGUCUCAGUCACCGCCGCCCUCACCCUCGCAGUCGCUGCCGAUCCCCUUCCCUCAUCAUCCUCCCUCAAGCGCUCGCCGCAACGACCGUGAGUGUGGCUGCUCCUCGCCCAUUCUCUGGCAACCGUCCCCUCCCCGCUGCCUCCGCCGACGCUGGAUAGAACGAGGUGGGUUCAACCAGUAGAGCCCUGGGCGAGAUCGCGUGCGAGUGGACGGAGUAGGCGCUGGUGGUCCUGGUGAACCAUGGGCGGAGUCAGAGCAGAGAGUUGGGGUGUAGGAGAUGAGGAGAAUGGGGUAGGCUUCAUGAUGGAAGGAGAUACGACGGCAAAGAAUGUGGAGGUCGGGUGUUACAUGGAGGCGCAUGUGCAAGUAGUCCAUUUAACACCAGUUUAGAAGAAAAAACUAUAUUCAUCCAGGUGAUGCCAUUCAUUUGCUAAGUGCUUCUGAAUUUUUGUUGUUCUAAUGCAUUUGCUUCUGAAUUAUGACAUGUGGAUUUGUUUUUUAAUCUGUUUAUGUGCAAGGUCAUGUAAGGAGAGCAAGGAUCCUUGGGAGAUGCUACUCUAAUUUUUUGCCAUUCAGAUGACACUAUUAUCACAAUCUUGUUAUGGCUGAAACAAUUGCCUUGCAUCAUAAUUUUUUUGAGUUAAUUAACAGGGAUAUAAUGCCGAAUACUUGGAGCACACUUUGUUAUUAGUACAAUGCAGAUUGAUUGUGCAAUUUGUGAGUAAGAGCACAUUUAGAUGGAAGUGGUGGUAACAGAAUAGGAGUACUAAAUAUGUUAUGUGUGUUUUGUACAAAACUAUUUCCCUUCUGUUCCAUGUUUUGGUCAUAUGCAAUCAUCCACCACAUCAGUAUCGCUAGCUGCACGAUUUGAUCUAUUUUCAUGAUGCUCAAUUGGAAUCUCUCUGCAUUUUGUAGAAAAAUGGCUGUGUAAGCUUUUGAUUAACCUGUAAUAGUUAGCUUGUCUUGUAUCUAUUUGAUCAGUUUUUCCAAAAAGUACGAACACACACAUUGUAUAAAUUUUACAUGGAUUUACAUGAUGGGCAAGUAGCCUUGGUCUCCUGCCUCUUCCAUUUUCAUAUGGUAUAUAUAGUUCUAAAUUCAGUUUAACAUGAAUCUUGAUAAUACUUUGUUGAAGUCGAAGUAGGAAUUAGGGCCAGGUAGAAUUAAAUUGCAACUAUUAGCGUAAUUAGCAUUGAUACCUCUGUCAGAGGUAUUCUAAGGAUUUGGCAUCAAGCACUAAUUAUGAAGAUUCAGUUUUCAUUGUGCCCACUUGACGUUGUCAGCGAUAUCCUUUAUGCCUUACAAUCCAUGUUGUUGUAUUCUUUCUUACCACAUCCAUUGUGUUGUUUUGUUAUGCUAAAUUAACCACAGGAUCGGGAGUAUGCUAUCAGCAAGAUCCUUUAUGCCUUAUAAUUCAGGUUGUUGUAUUCUUUCCUACCACGUCCAUUGUGUUCUUCUGUUAUGCUAAAUUAACCACUAGAUCAGGGGGACAGCCACCCAGUAACUCUUCCUUAUCUUCCCUCUCCUCUCUUAAACUUUCUAUGGUUCUUGGUUUGAUUCUCAAAGAGCUCGAACUCGUCUUGAGUUUUUGAUUAUGACCUUCCCUAUUUUGUUGCUACAGAUUACUGUACUAAUGUCUUGUGUAGCAAAUAUUUACUAAGAUGGGAUAAUAGGUAUACUAGUUUUCUAAUUCACGACUUCAUGUGAUUUCUUCCUGGUCUAUGUCAAGUCAAGUUAUUUUUGUUCUGAAUAAUUUACUAACACAGUGCAGGUUCAUGUGCAUAGCAAGUGUUAAAAAAGUCUCAAUUAUCUGCAUGGUAUAUCUAUUCAUUAUCUUUUCCAGAAUGAAGUGAGGUAUGGUCCGGAUCAAUGAACUCGAGAGGCGGCAGUGGAUCCCUAGGUUUUUUGGUUUCUGAAAGAGAAAUUUGUUUUGGCUUUUUUCUACACGCAUACCGUCAAUAAUGGAGAAUCAUGUGCAGGAAGUGAGAUUUGAGAAGCACUAGGGUGCGACAGUGGAGGAAGUAAAAUAUAUGUCGGAGACGGCCAUGAUGGCAUGAAUAUGAACCGUCCGGUUCUGAGGGGCAUCGAGAACAUCAUCAGAGCCCCUCAACAGCACCUGGUUCUGAGCAAGAGGGGGCUGGUCAGCAUGUUUGUGACAUGUUCUUCCAUGUGCAUAUUUUCACAUGACUCAUGCGCGGAGCCAGCGGGUCUGAGGAUUGAGCUCGUGCCCAAGCAGUAGAGCGAGGGAUACUUAUGAAACAUAUAUGUUGUGCCAAUGCAUCGUUAGGUGAACAUCUUUCUAUUUCACAGGUGAUUUACUUUCUUGACUUGGUGUGGCAUCUGUAAUUGCACAAGUGUGUUGGGUCAUAUUGAAAUAGUGUGGAUAGAUCAAUUUUGUUUAUUCAGAUCUGUCAUAAAUUGUCAUAUUGAAAGUUAGGAGGCUCACUCGUGUAGUUUUAAAAUAGCAAGUAGGUCUCCUUGGUAUACUCAAUACCCGACAGUGUUUGCAAUGCAAUAGUUGGUCAAAUACUGGACCUGGAUGUUAUACUCAUGUAGGAGUUUACGUCUAUUGCUACCUCUUGAGCAUUGUGUUGGUUU